Molecule: long non-coding RNA, 2478 nt
Filed under: Panax ginseng (ginseng)
Lineage: Eukaryota; Viridiplantae; Streptophyta; Magnoliopsida; Apiales; Araliaceae
Description: long non-coding RNA (PGIN_LNC014960)
Source: RNAcentral
GCGGUAAUACAUAGCUUGUGGACAAGUAACUUUGUCGAAACAAUUAUUGCCACCGGUUCUCUUGAAACUAAGACUUGCAGAGUCAGAUGUCAAGGUUUUGGGUUCAGUCACCACAAUAACCUGUGAUUUUUUUUUUAAUCUCUUGCUACAGUAGUGAACAGAAAGACCAUGUUAUCCUGCUAGUCAACCUUUACCAAAUCGGCAAAUCCCUUGGUCCACUCACCAAAAUUUGAAAAAUCACAACCAUCCAUAUCUUAUAUAACCCUUAGGCACCACAAGCUAAUGGCCCUGACUGACAGAGACAUGUUAUGGCCUGAAUGGUUGAAGAACAAAACAGAUCAAUAAAAGAUAAGGUUUGAACCCCACAAACAAUUAGUUCUUUUGUAAAUAUUCCUUCAACUUCUAUAUCGUCUUCUUCAGAAACUAGAAUAACUGCCUUCUACCCCCUUUCUACUCAUUUUUCUUUAUCAUUUCUCAAUAGGUACCAGACACAGAGUUAAAUAGAACUAAUUUGGUACAAUAAAAUAAUGGGUCUAUGCAUAAAGACUAUAAUAAGUAUGUUCUCAAACUUUAAUGCUUUUGCAGGAGAUGACUGCAUUUCGAUACAAACUGGAUGCUCAAAUGUAUAUGUACACAAUGUCAACUGUGGACCAGGACAUGGAAUCAGCAUUGGAGGGCUAGGAAAAGACAACACAAAGGCCUGUGUCUCAAAUAUCACUGUUCGAGACAUUGUUAUGCAUAACACGAUGAAUGGUGUUAGGAUAAAGACCUGGCAGGUAUGAAUACCAUUUGCAUCCUCUAAUUGAAAUUUGAUGGCUUGAACACCAGAAAUCAAGACUCCACGAGUUGAUUGGACAAAUCAAACUUUCAUUUUUUCAAUACGUAAAAAAUAAAGUAUCAUAUAUUAUAAACAUCAACCUACUUUAAAAGAUCAAGUACAAACUUGCUAGGAUCAGAAGAAAUUAAAAAGGUAUAAAUCAUUUCAUUUUCAACCCGACUGAUGUUAUAACAAAACUUUUGAGCUCACUUGCUCAGACUAGUUAAUCCUGGAAAGUGGGUAUUUGGAAUGCAUGACUGCAACAUUUUUACCUAAUUCUACAUAUCACUUUUGCAGGGUGGGUCUGGGUCUGUGCAAGGAGUAUUAUUCUCAAACAUUCAAGUGUAUGAAGUCCAAGUUCCAAUCAUAAUUGACCAAUUCUAUUGCGACAAAAGCAAAUGUAAGAACCAAACAACUGCUGUGGCAUUGUCAGGGAUCUCCUAUGAAGAUAUAAGAGGAACAUACACAGUAAAACCUGUGCACUUUGCAUGCAGUGACAGCCUGCCAUGCACGGAGGUUACCUUAAAUGCCAUAGAACUAAAACCACUGCAAGAACACUACCACAUGUAUGAUCCAUUCUGCUGGCAUACAUUUGGAGAAUUGUACUCCACGACUGUCCCUCCAAUAGAUUGUUUAGAGAUUGGAAAGCCAUCAAAAUUUAACCAUAUUCAGGCUGAUAAUGAUGUAUGUUAAGUCUAGCUAGGUAAAUUCGGGUGUAUUCCGUUGUGUGGUCGAUGUUAUUUCCUGACCCAUUUCACACCAUUAGCUAGAGAGUACUAGUGGACACUGGACAUAUUGGUGGUGCUAGUUUUAGGAAUUCUUCUUUACAAGGAAAUAGCUCUCAUUUUGUGAAAGUAAACGUACAGUGAUAGUAGCUAAGAGCUUGAUGGAAUGGUUGUAAGACAGCUUGUCAGCUAAGAUAAAGGGUUCUACAGUUGUUAGGUGUCAAAUAAAUAAAUUACUAUUUCAAUUUUCAACACAUUCAUUUUUUACAAAGAAGUCCAUAUCACAUGAAUUUCAGGAUUCAGAUACUUUAGUGACGAGAAAUCAAGUGUCAUGAGGAGCCCAUUCAAAUUUCAUGAAUAUUAGGGUGUAAGAUGAAAAAAAUUGAUUGAACACGUAAACUAGGAAAUGAAUACCGCCUAAAUUUACAAAAAUAAGAAAACAAAAGAAGCUGGGGCCAGAACAGACAGUAAAAGUAGAAAUUUUCAUUCAAUGAAGCUUUUGUAGAAUAAAUAUACAAUGGAGAGAAAUAUUAAUGGGCAUCAACAAUAAAGAAGAUGUAGUACACCAUAUGUAUGCAGGAGUGAGUCUGUUAUGGCAUGAUAUUGAACAACCGGUCAAUUCAAUAAUUUAAAAGUUACAAAGUAUUCACCUUCCAGUCCCCAGAUGUCUUACAUUUUACAGCAAGGAGACUCUGUAAUUGCCUUCAAAUUAUCUGUCCGUAUGUUCGAUUCCGUUUGCUUAUCUCUAUGCCCAUGAGCAAAUUCAACGUUACUUGCGGAGUGGACUCCGGAGAGACAUAUCAUAGCGGUCGAACUUCAUUCGCUAACCUGGAUGAUAGCAUCUGGAUCUACAUCCAAAUUAAGGCCCUCAGGCAUAUGGGAAUAACUCCAAUCCAUAACCCCUUUCGUUUAGGCGAUAAAAUCACAAUUAAAAUU